GAUGAACGCUGACAGAAUGCUUAACACAUGCAAGUCAACUUGAACUUCGGUUUGGGUGGCGGACGGGUGAGUAACGCGUAAAGAACUUGCCUCACAGCUAGGGACAACAUUUGGAAACGAAUGCUAAUACCUGAUAUUAUGAUUUUAGGGCAUCCUAGGAUUAUGAAAGCUAUAUGCGCUGUGAGAGAGCUUUGCGUCCCAUUAGCUAGUUGGAGAGGUAACGGCUCACCAAGGCGAUGAUGGGUAGCCGGCCUGAGAGGGUGAUCGGCCACAAGGGGACUGAGACACGGCCCUUACUCCUACGGGAGGCAGCAGUGGGGAAUAUUGGACAAUGGACCAAGAGUCUGAUCCAGCAAUUCUGUGUGCACGAUGAAGUUUUUCGGAAUGUAAAGUGCUUUCAGUUGGGAAGAAAAAAAUGACGGUACCAACAGAAGAAGUGACGGCUAAAUACGUGCCAGCAGCCGCGGUAAUACGUAUGUCACAAGCGUUAUCCGGAUUUAUUGGGCGUAAAGCGCGUCUAGGUGGUUAUGUAAGUCUGAUGUGAAAAUGCAGGGCUCAACUCUGUAUUGCGUUGGAAACUGUGUAACUAGAGUACUGGAGAGGUAAGCGGAACUACAAGUGUAGAGGUGAAAUUCGUAGAUAUUUGUAGGAAUGCCGAUGGGGAAGCCAGCUUACUGGACAGAUACUGACGCUGAAGCGCGAAAGCGUGGGUAGCAAACAGG
RNAcentral lists this ribosomal RNA (722 nucleotides) under uncultured Fusobacterium sp. RNAcentral's name for it is "bacterial SSU rRNA". It matches the Rfam family "Bacterial small subunit ribosomal RNA", at positions 28 to 776 of the family's 1533-position model. The record is from RNAcentral. Lineage: Bacteria; Fusobacteriati; Fusobacteriota; Fusobacteriia; Fusobacteriales; Fusobacteriaceae.